This 620-nucleotide ribosomal RNA is filed under the name uncultured bacterium. Its description in RNAcentral is "bacterial SSU rRNA". It matches the Rfam family "Bacterial small subunit ribosomal RNA", at positions 52 to 719 of the family's 1533-position model. The record is from RNAcentral.
CACAUGCAGUCGAACGCUUCAGCAAUGAAGAGUGGCAGACGGGUGAGUAACGCGUGGGAACCUUCCCAGUGGUACGGAAUAGCCCAGGGAAACGUGGGGUAAUACCGUAUAAGCCCUUAGGGGGAAAGAUUUAUCGCCAUUGGAUGGGCCCGCGUCGGAUUAGCUUGUUGGUGAGGUAAAAGCUCACCAAGGCGACGAUCCGUAGCUGGUCUGAGAGGAUGAUCAGCCACACUGGGACUGAGACACGGCCCAGACUCCUACGGGAGGCAGCAGUGGGGAAUAUUGGACAAUGGGCGCAAGCCUGAUCCAGCCAUGCCGCGUGAGUGACGAAGGCCUUAGGGUUGUAAAGCUCUUUUGGCGGGGACGAUAAUGACGGUACCCGCAGAAUAGGCUCCGGCUAACUUCGUGCCAGCAGCCGCGGUAAUACGAAGGGAGCUAGCGUUGUUCGGAAUUACUGGGCGUAAAGCGCACGUAGGCGGACUUGUUAGUCAGGGGUGAAAUCCCGGGGCCCAACCUCGGAACUGCCUUUGAUACUGCAAGUCUGGAGUCCGGAAGAGGUGGGUGGAAUUCCUAGUGUAGAGGUGAAAUUCGUAGAUAUUAGGAAGAACACCGGUGGCGAA